GUGGAUGGCUCAGUGGUUGAGAGCACUGGCAGUUCUUCCAGAGGUCCUGAGUUCAAUUCCCAGCAACCACA
This 71-nucleotide transfer RNA is filed under the name Cricetulus griseus (Chinese hamster). It matches the Rfam family "tRNA". Rfam says of the family: Transfer RNA (tRNA) molecules are approximately 80 nucleotides in length. The record is from Rfam by way of RNAcentral. Lineage: Eukaryota; Metazoa; Chordata; Mammalia; Rodentia; Cricetidae.